UACGAAGGGGGCUAGCGUUGCUCGGAAUCACUGGGCGUAAAGCGCACGUAGGCGGAUUGCUAAGUCAGGAGUGAAAUCCUGGAGCUCAACUCCAGAACUGCCCUUGAUCCUGACGAUCUCGAGUCCGGGAGAGGUGAGUGGAACUCCGAGUGUAGAGGUGAAAUUCGUAGAUAUUCGGAAGAACACCAGUGGCAAAGGCGGCUCACUGGCCCGGUACUGACGCUGAGGUGCGAAAGCGUGGGAAGCAAACAGG
This 253-nucleotide ribosomal RNA is filed under the name uncultured bacterium. Its description in RNAcentral is "partial 16S ribosomal RNA". It matches the Rfam family "Bacterial small subunit ribosomal RNA", at positions 524 to 776 of the family's 1533-position model. The record is from RNAcentral.